AAUUAAGACAUUGCAGAGUUAGAAUAAAGGAGUGGUUUAAGGCUAAUUUUUACCCUAAUUAGUGAAUAAGAUAAAUUAAUUUUUUUUACUCCUCUUAUAUUAUCUUUUUACCCCUAAUUAGAAAGGAAGAAAAUAACCAUUGAAAAUUUUUGGAAAGAUAUUUCUACAUGAUUCUAACAGUUGAGGAUUUUAGAGAGACAUAUUUGUGAUGGAAAAAAAUAUCAUUUCAUUUAUCUUCCAUUAAAAAAAUAGUAUUCUAACGGUAAUAAAUCGGAGUGGCAAAUAUGAAUAUCACUAAACUUUUGUGGGGGUAAAUAUUAAAAGUUGAACUUUGCAGUAAUAUAUUUACUAUUCGAUAUGUUUACAGGGAGCUGUAUGAAAUUAACCCUUCUUUAAACUAUCAUAAAUAUAUAACCAUUUUUAAAUUUUCUUAUAAAUAUAUAUUAUUAUUCCAUACUAUAUUAUAAAAUAUUAAUUUUUGGACCAAAUUAAGUAGAUAUAAGUUUUUAAAUUUUAUUUUUUAAUUAAAAAUAAAAUUAGAAAAAACUAAUAAUAAAUAAAAUUAAAAAUUAAACUGAUGAACAAAAAAAUGAAAAAUAAAAAGAAAAAAUCCAGCCGAUUUGUUGAGAAUUGGACGGGUUAACCAGUUCGCUUAUUGAACUGCCGAACCGAACGGUUCAAAAUGAGUUUUUUCACUUAUUUGAUUCAAAUGAUAGAACUGAACUGUUUUAUUAACUCGAUUAUGAUCGAGCAGGUCCAAU
RNAcentral lists this long non-coding RNA (761 nucleotides) under Ananas comosus (pineapple). RNAcentral describes it as "long non-coding RNA (ACOM_LNC026304)". Lineage: Eukaryota; Viridiplantae; Streptophyta; Magnoliopsida; Poales; Bromeliaceae. The record is from RNAcentral.